GACGAACGCUGGCGGCGUGCUUAACACAUGCAAGUCGAACGCUGAAGCUCAGCUUUUGUUGGGUGGAUGAGUGGCGAACGGGUGAGUAACACGUGAGUAACCUGCCUCCUUCUUUGGGAUAACGCCCGGAAACGGGUGCUAAUACUGGAUAUUCACUGGUCUUCGCAUGGGGGUUGGUGGAAAGGGUUUUUCUGGUGGGGGAUGGGCUCGCGGCCUAUCAGCUUGUUGGUGGGGUGAUGGCCUACCAAGGCUUUGACGGGUAGCCGGCCUGAGAGGGUGACCGGUCACAUUGGGACUGAGAUACGGCCCAGACUGCUACGGGAGGCAGCAGUGGGGAAUAUUGCGCAAUGGGCGCAAGCGUGAUGCAGCGGCGCCGCGUGAGGGAUGGAGGCCUUCGGGUUGUGAACCUCUUUCGCUCAUGGUCAAGCCGCAACAAUGGUUGUGGUGAGGGUAGUGGGUAAAGAAGCGCCGGCUAACUACGUG
RNAcentral lists this ribosomal RNA (483 nucleotides) under uncultured bacterium. Its description in RNAcentral is "partial 16S ribosomal RNA". It matches the Rfam family "Bacterial small subunit ribosomal RNA", at positions 28 to 507 of the family's 1533-position model. The record is from RNAcentral.